CACGUAGUUAGCCGGUGCUUCUUCUGCAGGUACCGUCACUUUCGCUUCUUCCCUGCUGAAAGAGGUUUACAACCCGAAGACCGUCAUCCCUCACGCGGCGUCGCUGCAUCAGGCUUUCGCCCAUUGUGCAAUAUUCCCCACUGCUGCCUCCCGUAGGAGUCUGGGCCGUGUCUCAGUCCCAGUGUGGCCGGUCGCCCUCUCAGGCCGGCUACCCGUCGUCGCCUUGGUAGGCCAUCACCCCACCAACAAGCUGAUAGGCCGCGAGCCCAUCCCUGGCCGAAAAAUCUUUCCACCCACAACAGAUGCCUGCAUGGGUCGUAUCCGGUAUUAGCCACCGUUUCCAGUGGUUGUCCCAGAGCCAAGGGCAGGUUGCUCACGUGUUACUCACCCGUUCGCCACUGAUCCCCCGAAGGGUUCACCGUUCGACUUGCAUGUGUUAAGCACGCCGCCAGCGUUCGUCCUGAGCCAGGAUCAAACUCU
Molecule: ribosomal RNA, 480 nt
Filed under: uncultured Kineococcus sp.
Lineage: Bacteria; Bacillati; Actinomycetota; Actinomycetes; Kineosporiales; Kineosporiaceae
Description: partial 16S ribosomal RNA
Source: RNAcentral